RNAcentral lists this long non-coding RNA (346 nucleotides) under Zea mays. RNAcentral describes it as "long non-coding RNA (ZMAY_LNC001361)". The record is from RNAcentral. Lineage: Eukaryota; Viridiplantae; Streptophyta; Magnoliopsida; Poales; Poaceae.
GGAGAAGGAGCGGAAGAGCCGCCGCGGUGGAAGCCAGGACACGGGAAAGCUUUGGACGCUACCAAUUCAGCGAAUAACCUACGGGGGUGCGUGGAAUUGAGCAAACCCUCCGCCGCCGAACCACCAUCCGCUGUGAGCAGUGCACGCUAGCGUCCGAUUCCUGGUAAUGACCUUUCCUCUCAAUUCAUGUUUAUCUACGCAUCGUGUAGAUUCUGGCCGAUUUUUAAUUCGCGCUCCAGAACACCAGGGCUCGGCUCACCGCCACCGGCAUCAAGCGCCGGCAUCGCUAGGGUUUCACGCCCCCAUCCCCCCAGGGCGCCGUCGAUCCCGGUCGGCCAUCUCCCGG